GUGCUCAAGGCCAGGCUGGAUGGGGCUUUGGGCAACCUGGUGUGGUGGGAGGUGUCCCUGCCCAUGGCAGGGGGGUGGAACGGGAUGGGCUUUAAGGUCCCUUCCAACCCAUACCAUCUUAUGAUGCUGUGUUUAUGCAAAUACCAAUUUGUUACUGGUGUAAUUUAGAAGCUGUUCUAAGUGAUUUGUUAGUCCCUAGAGUAGACUAAGUGGAGAUUUUUCUCUUAGCAAGCCACUGGAGAUUGGUGAUUUGGAAGUAACAUCCGGAGGAAAGAACAGCUCCUGCAUGGGUAUCAUGGCUAUGGAUUAGAUUUGGUUCUGAGUGAAUGUAUUGUUAAACGCUCCUAUUUUUGUCCUUAAAUAACCAUAAAACUUCAGAGACUGAAGGCUGUUGUUUAGGGCUUUUCUUCCUCUUUUCUCCCCCCCCACUCUCUCUCAGGAUUUUACAUUAAAAUGGGUGGGGAAACACGACUGUUCAUCUGAAGCCUGCAUUAGGUUUCAGCUGUAAAUGCUAGUGCAAUUUAUGCUAAUAUAAGGCCAAAAUGAACCGUCAAGAAUAUACUGUUAUCCCUGAUAGAUAGAACAGUAUGCAAGGUUUGGUGUAAAUCCAGCUAUUUAAUAUGAUGACAUGAUUGGUUUUUUUGCUUGCUUUCCACUUUUUUUUGAGUGAAUUAGCAAUUUAAAUUUAUAAGCAUAUUUAAAGAGACCUACUUUUUUAUGCGUUGUUAAUUAUAAAAACAGAAAAGGUCAAGGUUCCUUUGGUUCCUACUGUCACAUUUGUCAGCGGAGGGAAACAUGCUGUGGGAGGGUUGUUGUAGCUGCCCUAAGCAUUUAGAGUCUUUUCUCCCUUAAUAAUACCCGCCCAGCAAUUCACAUGCUAAUACCUAGCUUUGAGGUAUAUGGUGGGAGUGUCUAAGGUUCUGCUAUCCACAAAUGAGUCUCUGUUCCUUCAGCAGCCUGAUUGUUUCACAUCCUUUGGGAGCAUCCGCGUGCUGCCUCCAGGACCCUAGAAAAACAACACAGGCGAAGUCGAUGGAGCGA
RNAcentral lists this long non-coding RNA (1041 nucleotides) under Anser cygnoides (Swan goose). RNAcentral's name for it is "lncRNA (ENSACDG00005017545.1)". Lineage: Eukaryota; Metazoa; Chordata; Aves; Anseriformes; Anatidae. The record is from RNAcentral.